UUGGAUUUGUUACUUCAAACUUGCAUUUUCAUGCUUCAAAAGACUGGUGUAAUAACGUUUAAGUGGAGCUGACCUAACUUCACUUUCCAAAGCUGAUGUGGGUCUAAGUGCUAACUUCAGUACAUGCUGGAUCCCAUCCAAAAUAAAUAAUCUUAGCAGCAGCAGCAGCAACUGCUCUUGUCAGAUGUACAGUGGACAAGUUUAUGUGAGAUUUAAAAAUAUCAGAACAGACUUUUCAAUUGUGGGGAAGGGAGUAAAAUCCACUUCAUGAGUGUCAGACCAAUUUGCUCUGACCGCUAAGUCUAGGCAUAAAAAUAGGAGCUCUGUUGGAACUUUGCAAAUUACACUUGAUGUGGAUGUUUAAAUAACCUACUACUCAGUACUUUAUGCAGUAAAGUCAAUGUUAAAUGCUUCUAAAUCAGGUCAGCAACAGUUCACAAACAAUAUAAUCACUUUAAACAGCUAAGUAAUUUGUAACGUUUGAGAAUCAGAGCUAUGUUCUUCAGAUCAAUGCUGAAUUGCUUUACUAAAGACCACAUAUGGCACACAACAGUAUAUUUCAAAUAGAAAAUAAACAUAUCAAGGCAGUUUUUCUACUAAGAAGUGAAACAUCCCUAAAUUUUACAUUGGAUGUUUCCAAGUAACACCCCUCACACAAAGUGAAUUUGCAAUUUACUAGCUUGCCAGACUUUACUCAUGGUUUAGAUAUUCCUUCCAGUUUCUUCUAUGAGAUGCCACUUUAGAAACUUGGUAAGUUCCAAAGCUUUUGGAAAGUACUAAGUGACCUUGGACAACCCACCAACUGCUGAAGUGCCUAAAAUGUUUUUCUUUCUCAUAUGCUGAAGUGAACUGCAACAAUUCAGCAACUACUGCUUCAUACUCUGUUUAGUUACCAAGAACAUCUAUAAAGGACUAUACCUACUACGUUACAAAUCAUUUAAACCAGAUAUGCAGUACAAUGAAGGCAACAUACUUGGAGGAGAAAGGAAUCCAUAAGUUAGGCGAGGAUGAUUGUUGUAAAACAAACAUGUCUGGUUAUGAUUAAAAGAAAUACGAACAUCCUUGUGUAAACAGCUGGAGGUAUUUUCUGUAUCAGAAACCCAUUUGUCCUAUUGACAAGAAGAAAGUAUCAUCAGUAAAACAGAUAGUUAACAUACAAUAAUUCUCUUCAGUGUAGGGGAUUGCAGAACUCUCAAUAUUUAGCUGCAACUGCCUUUAAUGAUGUGAAGGGGCUUAACUAAGAUGCAAGAAAUGUUCCUCUUUUGUCACUGGAAAACGAGCCCUCCCAUCUAUUUCAUAUAUUUUGGAAAUAAAGUGAACUGCAGCAUGUUACUUGAGUUGAGAAUAAUAUCCUCCGAAAGAGAACCUAGAAGUGCCCACUAAAGAUAACCUGAUAUACUGUAAAUGUACUUGUCCAUUCAGGCUAGCAAAGGCAGCAAGAUGUGUUAGCCAUCUCUCUCCACUAGGCCACUUGUUCAGAUUAACUGGUUGCUUCAUGCCACUAACCUCAAAAUAUUUAGGAUCAAGCAAAGGAUCCUGUCACAUUACAAAUACUUCUUUAAGACCAUGAAACUGGUGUUGAGACCAGGCUUUAAGGACAGCACUGGCAGACUGCUAUGGCAGACCUACACUGCUGAUCAGUAAGGCAGUGCAGACUCGUAGCGCUUCCGUAUCAAUGACAAUGGGCUUCGCACUUACUGGUGGAUCUGCUUGUUCUGAAGGCAAAACUGCAUCUCAGUCCAAGCAGCACUAAAGAGUCAAGGCCAGUCCUUAUUAAUAUAGGACAGUGAAGAAAAGUUCACACACAAUUCCUCUUUUUAUCACAUAUGGUUCUAUUUAGUUCCCUGGGAGAUAGUAUUGUGAGCAGAUCUAAGAAGCAUUCAGGAAUAACUUACAUCUUUGUUAACAAAGUACGCACUCCACAGAGACAUCCUGUAGUCCUUGCUGUAUCCACUCACAUAGCGGGAAUGGUAAAGAAGGCAGUAAUUAUGGCUCUUCUGCAGAACCCUGGGCCGUCCAUAGGGCAAAGUAAGUUCCUCUAUCUUCUUAACUGUGGCAGAAAUAGUGCUUGUUACAUUUCAGUCAAUCUUGGUUAUUAAGCAUCUUCCUCUUUUAUACACCUAUGGUUGCCUCAAUUUCCAAUUUCCAAACAGAGAAGUCACAGUAACCGACAAAAAAAAAUUGUCAUUCUCAUAUCAAAAGAAUAGUUUCUAUGCUAAGAAAAUAAAUUACAAAGCCAGUAUAAAGCAAUCGUUUAAACUUAACACUGUACAAAUUAAGCUUAUAUUUAAAACAAAAGUUUGCCACUUAAAACAGGAGAUGGAUCUAAGUGGCAAAGUUAAAAUCUUUGUUGACUUUGUGUUUCAAUUUAAAUAUAACAUGGGAUCUGCUUUUAAGUAACAUCUAGAUAGAACAGAAACCAACUGUGGUGUUUUGAAAUUUGCUGAGGGGACUAUUUUAGUAGAAACCACAAAGUCAUAUGUAAAAGUGACAUUUAAAGGACUAAGAAAUAGAGAUCUAAAUAAACAAUACAGUGAAGGACUGGUUGAAUUUUCCGAUGUGCAAGGACUUGCUUUAUAAUGAAUGUGAUAGUCAAAACCUUCCUUCUUCCUCUUUCUCAGGGACCACCUCUCUUUAUAAAGCUUAUAUACAGAGAAAGAUAUCUCCAAAUAUUUUAUGCGCAAUACUGCACCGGGGUUUUCGCAGACCCUUGCCUAAGGCAUUGCCUCUUCAUUGGCAAGCUACUGCAUCCAAUGAAGAGUGAAGUCUUUCUUUUAAAACUGUUUAGGAAAGAAGCUAUGUGGAAUCAGCAGAGGGUAUGUCAUUAGACAGAAGCUGAAAAGUAAGGCAGAGUUAGUGACAUAACUACUUUAGAGUCAAUACCACUUAUC
This is a long non-coding RNA of Strigops habroptila (Kakapo), 2891 nucleotides long. The record is from Ensembl. Lineage: Eukaryota; Metazoa; Chordata; Aves; Psittaciformes; Psittacidae.